RNAcentral lists this ribosomal RNA (294 nucleotides) under Theileria equi. Its description in RNAcentral is "partial small subunit ribosomal RNA". It matches the Rfam family "Eukaryotic small subunit ribosomal RNA", at positions 500 to 828 of the family's 1831-position model. Lineage: Eukaryota; Apicomplexa; Aconoidasida; Piroplasmida; Theileriidae. The record is from RNAcentral.
GUCUUGUAAUUGGAAUGAUGGGAAUUUAAACCCCUUCCAGAGUAUCAAUUGGAGGGCAAGUCUGGUGCCAGCAGCCGCGGUAAUUCCAGCUCCAAUAGCGUAUAUUAAACUUGUUGCAGUUAAAAAGCUCGUAGUUGAAUUUCUGCUGUUUCGUUGACUGCGUUUGGCGUUUGUCAUCGUUGCGGCUUGGUUGGGUUUCGAUUAUUCGUUUCCCGGCGUUUACUUUGAGAAAAUUAGAGUGCUUGAAGCAGGCUUUUGCCUUGAAUACUUUAGCAUGGAAUAACGGAGUAGGAC